CAAAAUAACAUUUUGCAGUUCUGUUGAGUGUUCAUCAUGCCUAGAGUCUUCUGACAUCUUCUUGAAAUGUUCGUGAUAUACUGACAUGAACAUUCACACAAUCUAACCAAACCAAAACAAAAAAAGAAGCCUUGAUUUGAAUGCCUACUUAGUGCCAGGCUUUAUACUAGGCACUGGCAAUGAGAGAUUUGAAAGAAAAAGCCUGCACCCAAGGAACUUUCAUUCUUCAGAGAAUGGACAAGACUAAUGGAGAAAUCUACAAGUAAGUUCAAGAUUUAAGUGGAAAAGUCGAUGCAAAGAGACAGUCCCACUCUCUCGGCGUUGGAAGCCUGGACCCAUUGGCACGAAAAGUCAUUACACCUGGAGACUUUCUCAGCUGCAUUGGAUGGCCGUGUUGUCCUUUGUGCUCCAACACGCCCUGAGCACUCCACAGUGCUUUGCUGCGUUGCCAUCUCAGCCGUUGAACCGUCUUGUUGGUUUCUUCCGCCUGUUCCGCAGAAACAAUCUUCACAUGCUGGAUCAUUUUACAGAUGA
This 534-nucleotide long non-coding RNA is filed under the name Monodelphis domestica (gray short-tailed opossum). RNAcentral's name for it is "lncRNA (ENSMODG00000031278.2)". The record is from RNAcentral. Lineage: Eukaryota; Metazoa; Chordata; Mammalia; Didelphimorphia; Didelphidae.